UACGUAGGGUGCAAGCGUUGUCCGGAAUUAUUGGGCGUAAAGAGCUCGUAGGCGGCUCGUCGCGUCGGCUGUGAAAACCCGCGGCUUAACUGUGGGCUUGCAGCUGAUACGGGCGGGCUAGAGUUCGGUAGGGGAGACUGGAAUUCCUGGUGUAGCGGUGAAAUGCGCAGAUAUCAGGAGGAACACCGGUGGCGAAGGCGGGUCUCUGGGCCGAUACUGACGCUGAGGAGCGAAAGCGUGGGGAGCGAACAGG
RNAcentral lists this ribosomal RNA (253 nucleotides) under uncultured bacterium. RNAcentral's name for it is "partial 16S ribosomal RNA". It matches the Rfam family "Bacterial small subunit ribosomal RNA", at positions 524 to 776 of the family's 1533-position model. The record is from RNAcentral.